Molecule: non-coding RNA, 546 nt
Organism: Thamnophis sirtalis
Lineage: Eukaryota; Metazoa; Chordata; Lepidosauria; Squamata; Natricidae
Source: RefSeq, a predicted model, not a curated record
CCCUCUGCCAGUCUGGGAUCCUCCCAGCCUCAGCCUAACACAGGGGGGGCGGGAGGGGGGGUGGCAAGAAGAGGAAAGGAAGGAGAGGAGGAAGCUAUCCGGCACACACACACACAAAAAAAAACAAGAUUUAUGCCCAGGAGGAUUGGAGCAGGAAAAUCCAGGCUCAGAGCUGGCUGUUAAAAUCCCUGCAUUUCCCACAAACACAAACCCCUCUCUCGGCUUUGGGCCAUGAAGGUGGGGAAAAGUAGAUUUCUUAGACGUCCGUUUGGAGAAAGGAAAGCCCAAAGCUGACCAAGACAAAACAGGAAUCACCUCCAACACUCUUGGUGAGCUUCAAGGACAAAAACAACCUUUGAAACCUAGAAUUUCCGUUCUACUCAUCCGUUAAAAGUUAAUGCCCUGAAAAAAGUCACUGGGAUUUUGGUGUGUGUGUGUGCACGUUUGGCUUUCUAUAUAUUUUUUAUUUUUUUUGAAAAAGAAAAGCUUUAAGAUAUCACCUGUAGAGAAAACUCAUCGCCUUUUUAAUCCCUUUUUAAAAAAAAA